This 253-nucleotide ribosomal RNA is filed under the name uncultured bacterium. RNAcentral's name for it is "partial 16S ribosomal RNA". It matches the Rfam family "Bacterial small subunit ribosomal RNA", at positions 524 to 776 of the family's 1533-position model. The record is from RNAcentral.
UACGUAGGAGGCGAGCGUUGUCCGGAGUUACUGGGCGUAAAGUGCACGCAGGCGGUCUGUUAAGUUCACGGUGACAGUCAUCAGCUUAACUGGUGAAGUGUCUUGAAAACUGACGGACUUGAGGGCCAGAGAGGGACCUGGAAUUCCGGGUGGAGCAGUGAAAUGCGUAGAUAUCCGGAGGAACACCAAUGGCGAAGGCAAGGUCCUGGCUGGCACCUGACGCUCAGGUGCGAAAGCUAGGGGAGCGAACGGG